This 253-nucleotide ribosomal RNA is filed under the name uncultured bacterium. RNAcentral describes it as "partial 16S ribosomal RNA". It matches the Rfam family "Bacterial small subunit ribosomal RNA", at positions 524 to 776 of the family's 1533-position model. The record is from RNAcentral.
UACAGAGGGUGCGAGCGUUAAUCGGAAUUACUGGGCGUAAAGCGCGCGUAGGCGGCUUUGCAAGUCGGGUGUGAAAUCCCCAGGCUUAACCUGGGAACUGCAUUCGAGACUGCAUUGCUAGAGUAUGGGAGAGGGAAGUGGAAUUUCCGGUGUAGCGGUGAAAUGCGUAGAUAUCUGGAGGAACACCGGUGGCGAAGGCGGCAUCCUGGGCCAACACUGACGCUGAUGAGCGAAAGCCAGGGGAGCAAACGGG